AGUGCAGAUGUGUGUUGGAUGACUAAAUGGCUGGUGAAUGGGCAGGGCAGUGCCUUGUGCAUCUCUGCAUCCCCAGAACCCAGCUUGGUGCAGAGUGCAUAAGAGGACACUUGGUCAGGGACUUCCCUGGUGGCGCAGUGGUUAAGAAUCCGCCUGCCAAUGCAGGGGACACGGGUUUGAGCCCUGGUCCGGGAAGAUCCCACAUGCCGAGGAGCAACUAAGCCCGUGCGCCACAACUACUGAGCCUGCGCUCUAGGGCCCAUGUGUCGCAACUACUAAGCCCGAGUGCUGCAACUACUGAAGCCUGCGUGCCUAGAGCCUGUGCUCCGCAACAAAAGAAGCCACCGCAAUGAGAAGCCCACGCACCGCAACGAAGAGCAGCCCCUGCUCACUGCAACUAGAGAAAGCCCGCGCCCAGUGACGAAUACCCAACGCAGCCAAAAAAAAAAAAAAAGAAAGAAAAGGACACUUGGUCAAUGAGCGAGAAGGAAAUAGGAGAAGAAGGUGGGGAUACAAGAGGAAGGGAAGGGAAGAGGGAAUCAAAUCAGAGAGAUGCUGAGAAUGGCAGGUGGUACCUUGAGCGUGUGGCAUGCCUUGACUGUGGCUGCCAGGGAGUGGCAGUCGCGGUAGGUGAAGAGGAAGAGGUUCCACUCGAAGUUCAUGCCACAGUCCUUGACACCGUACACCAGGUCCAGCUCCUCCAGGUGGCUCAGGCCAGCCACCAGGUCGCCCAGUUGGUAGUGGCCCAUGGCCGGCUCCUCCUCCAUCUCUCCUUCACUGCUGGAGUCGGACUGAUCCCCGCCCCGAAGUGGGGGCGGGAGCUGCACGGGCGGAAGGAACUGAUCCACCCGGAUCGUGUGCACGUAGUUCCUGCAGAGCGGCAGCAGGCUGAGGAUCACCUCGGGGUCCGUGGUGCCGGGGAUGAAGUGCUUCAGCAGGUUCUCCAGGUGCAGCUCGAAGAACAUGCGCUUCCAGCUGCCGCCGUGCUCGUCCACGUGGCACACGGGCCAGCGUUGCGUGCAGCAGCGGCGCCAGUAGUUCUCAUCCUCUAUCAGGUCUGGUGGUGACAAGUGCUGUAGACAAAAUGAUGGCCCUGUCCUCACAGAGCUCCCCAUCUGGUAAGAGAGGUUGGCAACUCAUCUUUGAAAAGGAUGAACAUUUACAGAGACUAAAGUACAGAACAAACCAAGAACCUGUACACGCCAUGGAAGACUCCGAGAGAGUGGAGGACGAUCAAUCAGGGAGGGCUUUCUGGAGGAGGAGGCACCAGGCUGCCCAGGAAGCCAGGUGGUGCCCGCAACAACUCUGUAGAGAACCGCACGGCUCGACGGAGGAGCCGACGAAGUACCAGCCUAGAAGGAUUCAGAGCCCAGAUGAGCCCGCAGCAGGGAGGGGAGAGGGGAGGGCAAGGUCCAGAGUGUGUGCUCGCUUCCCCCUCCUCCUGCCAUCUCAACCCGACCCACCUCUCCAUCUCCUCCCUCCUCUCCCCUGCAACCCCCAGCAGCCCCUGCCCCUGCUGUAGCCCUUCCAGACUCACGGUGCACCAGACAUCCCAGGAGAGACGCCAUCGGCGAUGCAGAUGCUGAGCGUGCGGAUGUGGUCAGCCACCACACGGUACGCUGUGUCUGUGUGCCCCUCGUCUGCUGCCCCGACCCGGCCCGAGUAAGGGGGUGCCCCGCAACCCUGGGAAGCAGGAGAGGAGACAUGGCUGCCGGCCCUGCCUGCCCUGGCCCAGGAGGGACACUCUCCAUCACUCCUGGAGCAUCUGCCCUCACCCCUAAAGCUGACCGCAUCUGGAAUGGCCUGGGCCAGAGAAGCUUCAAAGGUGAAAGAGAGCCAGUCCCUGCCUCCUGGGGCCCACAUUCAGCACAGACAAGGAGCACAGCUGUGAUCAUUUACUGAAUUUCUAUUAUCAGAACCGGGUGGGUACUUGAAUGAUAUGGUGUCUAAUCCCUAAAACUUCCUGUUCUGGGAGGUGUUAAAGUGGAAAGUGGAAAGUGGAGAAGAAAAACAAAACAAAACAAAGACUAGACCAAAAAAAAGUGGAAAAAAAUAAAAACAAACAAAAAAAGAGGAAAGUGAGACUCAGAGGAGCUAAGUUCUACAAGGGCACACAAUUCAAGAGCAGAUCUGAGAUUUGAACCACGACUGUCCCACCCGGGUGCUCUUCAUUCCCCACACCUGCCUCUACAGCCUCUAUGGGCGCAGGGAAGGAGUGUGUGAGCUGUGAAUACAUUAAGCUGUGCCCCAAAGCAGAGUGCUUGGUUCAUCCAGCUCCAAACCUGUCUCUUCCCCAAGCUUCCCCCUCUCAAUAAACAGUCCUGCCAUUCACCACAUUACUCAAGUCAAAAACUCAGGAGCCAGGCUUGACUUUCUUUCCUCUCCCCAUCCAAUCCAUCAGUGGGGCCUUUUGUGUCUACCUCCAUGAGAUCUCUCAAAUCAACCUACUUUUCUCCACUUCCACUGCUACCAACCUAAGCCAUACCCUAUUAUCUUUCCUCAACUAUGAAAUAGGCUCCCAAUUGGUUUCUCAGCUUCUGCUCUGGUCUCCUUCCAGCCUAUCCUUCACACGGCAACAGGAGUGGCCUUUUAAAAGUGUCAGUCAGAUCGUGCCCCUCCUGCCUUGGAGCCCAUCUCACCACAUUUAGAAUAAAAGACUCACUUUGGACUUCAAGACCCCACAAGAUCUGACUCCUGCCUUCCUCUCUGUGGUAGACUGUUUGCAAAAUUGGCCACAGUCCUUCCCUUUCCUGUGUGCAUGCCACUUUGCAGCGUGACUUUACAGGUGCUUCCUAUCAAGGAAUAGAAUUUAUUUCUCCAUCCCUUGGAUCUGGGCUAGACUUGUGACUUGCUUUGGCCAACAGAAUGUGGUGGAAAUGACACUGUUCUGAGCCCAGGCCUCAAGAAGCCUCAUGUGCUUCCACUCUCCUUCUUGGAACCUUGCCAAGCUGUCAUGCGAACAGGCCCGAGCUACCCUGCUGGAUGAUAAACAUACAACCCGGUCAUCGCCACAGCCCUAAACUGACAGCCAGCCAACUCCCAGAAAUAGAGCUGCCUAGUAGCUGACCACAGAUGCAUGAGUGAGCUCAUACAGGACCAAGAGGGACCCAGCUGAGCCCAGCCUACAUUGCUUGUCCACAGUC
Globicephala melas (long-finned pilot whale) is the source of this 3143-nucleotide long non-coding RNA. RefSeq lists it as uncharacterized. NCBI's taxonomy places the organism in Eukaryota, Metazoa, Chordata, Mammalia, Artiodactyla, Delphinidae. The record is from RefSeq and is a predicted model, not a curated record.